GACGAACGCUGGCGGCGUGCUUAACACAUGCAAGUCGAACGGAAAGGCCCUGCUUUUGUGGGGUGCUCGAGUGGCGAACGGGUGAGUAACACGUGAGUAACCUGCCCCUGUCUUUGGGAUAACUUCAGGAAACUGGGGCUCAUACCGGAUAGGAUCUCCUGCUGCACGGUGGGGGUUGGAGAGUUUCGGCGGUUGGGGAUGGACUCGCGGCUUAUCAGCUUGUUGGUGGGGUAGUGGCUUACCAAGGCUUUGACGGGUAGCCGGCCUGAGAGGGUGACCGGCCACAUUGGGACUGAGAGACGGCCCAGACUCCUACGGGAGGCAGCAGUGGGGAAUAUUGCACAAUGGGCGGAAGCCUGAUGCAGCGACGCCGCGUGCGGGAUGACGGCCUUCGGGUUGUAAACCGCUUUCGCCUGUGACGAAGCGUGAGUGACGGUAAUGGGUAAAGAAGCACCGGCUAACUACGUG
RNAcentral lists this ribosomal RNA (468 nucleotides) under uncultured bacterium. RNAcentral describes it as "partial 16S ribosomal RNA". It matches the Rfam family "Bacterial small subunit ribosomal RNA", at positions 28 to 507 of the family's 1533-position model. The record is from RNAcentral.